RNAcentral lists this microRNA precursor (203 nucleotides) under Oryza punctata. RNAcentral describes it as "MIR812 microRNA precursor family". It matches the Rfam family "MIR812 microRNA precursor family". The record is from Rfam by way of RNAcentral. Lineage: Eukaryota; Viridiplantae; Streptophyta; Magnoliopsida; Poales; Poaceae.
UAUAAGCUUCUGUAUCUAACUCAGAUUAACUCAGAUUGAUCGUUUUAUUCGAAAAUUUUUAAUUAGUAUUUUUGUUGUUAUUAGAUGAUAAAAUAUAAAUAAUACUUUAUACGUGACUUAUGUAUUUUUAUUUUUUUUAAAAAAUAUUUUUAAAUAAGAUGUACGAUUAAAGUUAGACACGAAAACUUAUGGUUGCGCUUAAA